Molecule: long non-coding RNA, 659 nt
Organism: Xiphophorus couchianus (Monterrey platyfish)
Lineage: Eukaryota; Metazoa; Chordata; Actinopteri; Cyprinodontiformes; Poeciliidae
Exons: 3
Source: RefSeq, a predicted model, not a curated record
UAACUAGUUCCUUAUUUAAACAACUCAUUACAACCAGUAUUUCCUCAAAGAUAAAUCACCAAACAGACAAAGCACAAAUCAUUCGAACAAAACAAAUGAGUACAUUUGAUGUUACACCACACACAAACGUAUGUACACCCCUACAUGGCUACACAUGAAAGGACUCCCUGAUAACGAUGCAUAGACACAGAGGAGACCGACUAGCUGCCCUGCCAAACAGGCAGCAGUGAUAACAUGACAAAUGUCAUUGGCAGGCACGAACCACUCCGUCCACUCCUGCUGGCGAGGCACAAUCCUGCAUUCACACUCUCUGUUGAAGCCGGAGCGGUCAGAGUGACAGCCUGCUUCGUGUACGUCAACGGGCCAAGGCAGAUCAUUCCAUCGCAACACACAGAUAUCCUCUUAUGUUCUGCCUGACUACUGGAAACGCUGCAUGGAUAUUGUGAAAUAUCUCGUCAUCUGAUCUGGAUUUGGUUUUCCUGACCUGAGUUUCUCACUGCCAUCACCAAGAUGGGCUGUGUGGUGUUGGGUACAUUGCCUAAACAUAUGCAAACUCAUCCCGUCGCUCCGAUCUAAUGUCAGCCUGUUUACUUCAACUCUCUUGGAGCCACUCUGUUCUCUCCCUGCACAUUAUUAAAGUUCGGCAUAUAUGAACGAUG